CGCAAGCCUGAUGCAGCAACGCCGCGUGAGGGACGACGGCCUUCGGGUUGUAAACCUCUUUUAGCAGGGAAGAAGCGAAAGUGACGGUACCUGCAGAAAAAGCGCCGGCUAACUACGUGCCAGCAGCCGCGGUAAUACGUAGGGCGCAAGCGUUAUCCGGAAUUAUUGGGCGUAAAGAGCUCGUAGGCGGUUUGUCGCGUCUGCUGUGAAAUCCGGAGGCUCAACCUCCGGCCUGCAGUGGGUACGGGCAGACUAGAGUGCGGUAGGGGAGAUUGGAAUUCCUGGUGUAGCGGUGGAAUGCGCAGAUAUCAGGAGGAACACCGAUGGCGAAGGCAGAUCUCUGGGCCGUAACUGACGCUGAGGAGCGAAAGGGUGGGGAGCAAACAGGCUUAGAUACCCUGGUAGUCCACCCCGUAAACGUUGGGAACUAGUUGUGGGGUCCAUUCCACGGAUUCCGUGACGCAGCUAACGCAUUAAGUUCCCCGCCUGGGGAGUACGGCCGCAAGGCUAAAACUCAAAGGAAUUGACGGGGACCCGCACAAGCGGCGGAGCAUGCGGAUUAAUUCGAUGCAACGCGAAGAACCUUACCAAGGCUUGACAUAUACGAGAACGGGCCAGAAAUGGUCAACUCUUUGGACACUCGUAAACAGGUGGUGCAUGGUUGUCGUCAGCUCGUGUCGUGAGAUGUUGGGUUAAGUCCCGCAACGAGCGCAACCCUCGUUCUAUGUUGCCAGCACGUAAUGGUGGGAACUCAUGGGAUACUGCCGGGGUCAACUCGGAGGAAGGUGGGGAUGACGUCAAAUCAUCAUGCCCCUUAUGUCUUGGGCUUCACGCAUGCUACAAUGGCCGGUACAAAGGGCUGCAAUACCGCGAGGUGGAGCGAAUCCCAAAAAGCCGGUCCCAGUUCGGAUUGAGGUCUGCAACUCGACCUCAUGAAGUCGGAGUCGCUAGUAAUCGCAGAUCAGCAACGCUGCGGUGAAUACGUUCCCGGGUCUUGUACACACCGCCCGUCAAGUCAUGAAAGUCGGUAACACCUGAAGC
This 1041-nucleotide ribosomal RNA is filed under the name Microbacterium sp. RNAcentral describes it as "bacterial SSU rRNA". It matches the Rfam family "Bacterial small subunit ribosomal RNA", at positions 376 to 1427 of the family's 1533-position model. Lineage: Bacteria; Bacillati; Actinomycetota; Actinomycetes; Micrococcales; Microbacteriaceae. The record is from RNAcentral.